RNAcentral lists this long non-coding RNA (404 nucleotides) under Salvia miltiorrhiza (redroot sage). Its description in RNAcentral is "long non-coding RNA (SMIL_LNC002073)". The record is from RNAcentral. Lineage: Eukaryota; Viridiplantae; Streptophyta; Magnoliopsida; Lamiales; Lamiaceae.
CCUUCCCCGGUCCGACGCGCCGCCUCCCUGGUUCGACGCUCCCUCAGAAGCCUCCCCCUCCGUUCGCCUACAUCAGCGCCUCCUCUGUACACCUGAAUUUGAGUCCGCCCCACCCCUGAAUUUCAAUUCGCCUCGCCGGAGUCGUUGCAGUGGCUGGGCAGAUCUGGCGGGGACAAUAGAGGAUCUGGUGACGACGGCCAAAAUGGCGAUCAUCAUGUCCGGAGGUAACUUGCAGUCGCCCAUGGCGUUCGUCUUCGCCGCUGCCUUGUUCUUGUUGUGGGAUUUUGAGUUUCUCUUGGGAGGCAUUGUGAUUUCGUCGAGGGUUUUGGGAGGCAGCGUAGGAUUGAGGCAACUGAGUUUAUUUGCUGUGAAUGUGAAUGUGAUUGGACAAAAUUCAGGAAAGG